CAUUUAGUCACUUCUUGCAGGAAAGCCUUACUAGUAGGUAACUUUAGAUUUUUUUUUUUUUAGGUGAAAGUAAAACAUUUUGAGAAAACAUUGCCUUUGCUGAAACAACAUUAUUUCCAAUAAAUAAGCCAGUCAUUCAUUUAGUCCUUUGUUUAUGAAACAGUUACUGAGAGAGUCCUUUGAGCUGGGGGCUGUACUGUGUGUGGGGAUAAAUAAAACACAGAUCCAGCUAUGGUGAAAUGCACACUCUUGAAAGGUAAAUUUCAUCUGAAGAUUACCAGUAGAAAAUAGCCAUUUAACAUGACCUAUCAGUAUGCGAUACCCAAAGCAGACAGUCUUUAAGGUAGCAUGCUGCUACCAAUUCUUAAUUCCAUUCCAGGAAACUCAAACGACUUUUUAUCAUGGAGUUCCCGUCAUGGCUUAUCGGAUUUGUUAACCACUGCGCCACAAUGGGAACUCCUGUGUGUGUGUUUUGUUUGUUUUGUUUUUGAGUUAGGAAGAGAGAAAAUCCCAAUAAAUAAGUAGAUCUUUUUUGGUUAUUUUAUAAUCCUCUUUGAUGAUUUUUGGUCAUUUUGAAUGAGAAGAGCAAGAAAGAGAUACAGUUCUGAUCCCUAGGGGCUGUGGAGGCCUUUCGCUUACUUUAAGGAGAACGAUGUGGAGAAGGGAAGUAAGAGACAUCAUUCCUCGAAAGGUGAGAGGAGCCUGAGGUAGGUUGUGGGGAUUUUUUUUCCCCAUCCGCAUGUCCUUUCAUCUGUGGUUAUCCUAACAAAGUGAGGAUAUUAUUUAAACCGUGUACUUUAUUUUGCUGGAGUAUUUGAUAUGUUUAAAAAGUGUAAGACCAUUUCCUCAGUAGGCAUAUGCUUGCACUUAGCCUUAAUUCAUACCCUCGGAGGCAGCACACACAGCGUGGCCCUAUUCUGCGUAUUUUAAGAGGUUUCUUAUGACAGGGCUUGUCUGUUGGCCAUACUGGUGAGUAGCACUUAGAGGGUUUACAAACCACUCAGUGCCGGUGAUGACAUACUCAGUGUGGUUCUGGAAGCUAAAUAAAACACAGGAAAGAGAUAGUCAAUAAAAUAAAGAACACACCUCUGUAAUUAUUGCCAGAAAUGAAAAUUUGAAACCCUAAAUUUGAAUGUGGUCUAGGCACCUGAAGAUCCAAACGUAAUUUCCCAGAUUGAAAUUUCAGGAAAGAGUGUCUAUCUCAAGUGUCUUGCCUAGAUCACAUAUUUUGAAAACAUUUUGACUGAUCAUAGGAGAAGCAAGGAGCAGAUGUUGAGUGAGACAUGUACCCACAAAAGAAAUGUUCCCUCCUUAGUGAUUCCAUUUACUGCUAAGUAAACCUGCAACGCACCCCAUUCAGGCAACAUUACUUGCUACUGGAAGAUUUUGGGCCAACUCAUAAGACGAAAACUAUUCCUAUGUACUUGUUUUGUAAUUUCAAAUACAGAUCUCUUUGCAAUCCAAAAAUAAGUUUUUCUUGUAGAAGGACUAAUUUUUUAAUGACAGUGAUCCAAUCAAUACUAUUACAGUUUGAGGUUAAGGGGCACCCUUCUCCUGUGGUUAAAUUCAAAUCCAGGAGUUCCCAUCGUGGCUCAGUAGAAAUGAAUCUGACUAGGGGACGCAGGUUCAAUUCCUGGCCUUGCUCAGUGCGUUAAGGAUACUGCAUUACCGUGAGCUGUGGUGUAGGUCACAGACUUGGCUUGGAUCCUGUGUUGCUGUGACUGUGGUGUUGCUGGCAGAUACAGCUCUGAUUUGACCCCUAGCCUGGGGACCUCCAUAUGCUGUGGGUGUGGCCCUAAAAAGACAAAAAAAAAAAAAAAAUUCUAAUCCAAGUCUUUGGAUUUUCUGUAGCUACUUUCUUGGGAAGUAAGCUGAUGUCUUUCAAGCCUCUACUGUACUCAUCCUCCACUAUCCCACGUGUCUCCACUCAGGCUCUCUCAUCUUCAAGACAACUUUCUUUAUUUUGCGGGUUAAAACAAAAACCCAAAAAACCGAGGCAUUAAGAGAUGAGGUGAUCUGCAAAAGUCCACGGGCCAAGUAGGUGACUAAUUCCAGAUUCCAGUUGUAGCUUUGAAUGUCUAAAACCCUGUCAUCUCCCUAAAACACUUUAAUAGCCAUGAUUCAGUGUGACAUGGGCCUCACAAGUUCAAAUACAUUUAUACUGUGGCUGGGUUUUCCAUUUUACCUGAGGUUAAUCAUACUGCCAGUAUAAUCCAGGUGUUUUAUAGUUUAUUUUUGUGUUUUGUUAUUUAUCCCAUUUGCAGUACCUGGCAUGAUGGGCUGUGUAUAGCACACAGUUAAUGAAUACUUGCCAAAUCCAUCCAUUUUGAGCCUCAUGAAGGCUGCUUAUCUUACAGGGGUCAGACUAACCUUGGUUAGAAAAGGUGUGGAUACGGAUUAUCGCUGCCUUCCCCGAAUCCCUGGUAAAAUCCUAAUUAAGGCCUAGUUCAUAUCAUCAUCUCGUUUAAGUAGCUUUCUCUGACCCGUUUUGUCACUAAGGCAGAAUUGCUUCUUCUUCUGUGUAUGACUUAGAGUUUAUAUAUACUUUCAUGUCGUUUUUCUUUUUUAAGGAAGAAUGAUAAUGAUAACUUCUAUUUAUUGUGCACUAGGUCAGGCAUUAAGCUAAAUACUCUACAAAUGUUAUCUCUUUUUAAUCCUCAAAACAACCCUGGGAGACAGCAAGCCUGAGACAUCAUUAUCCUAUAUUACAGGUGAGAAAAGUGAUCUAACCGAUUCCUAAAGCCUGUGCUUUAAAUUUGUUCUUUUAUUUUUAAUUGAGGCACAAUUUACACACAGCAAAGUGCACGCCUCUCAGGUAUACAGUUGGAUAAGUUGGAUAAGUACAAACAUCUGUGUAACUAUGUACCCAUCAAGAUAGAGCACAUUUCCACUUACAGAAGUGUCUUUCCUGCCUUUUCUCCCACACAAGAUUAAGGAUGCCUGUUUUGGAAUUUUAUGGAAAUUGAGCUAGAGAGUACAAUGUACUGUGAAGCACAGGAAAUUCCACUCAGUACUGAGUAAGAACCUAUAUGGGAGAAGAUUCUGAAAAGGAAUGGAUGUAUGUAGAUGUAUAACUGAUUUACUUUUUGUAUGCCUGAAACGAAUGCAACUUGUAAGUUAAUGAUACUCCAAUUAAAAAAAACAACAAAAAUAAAAACCAAGAACAUUGUCCAAACCACACACACAAAAGAUGGUUGUCCAGGUCCUUCCUACUAAUGUAAAGCUACAAUUCUCACCUCAUGCCAUGUGGCACACAGAUAGUUUUAAACUGAAAAGGCUUUGGACAUUUAUCUUCUGAAGGUAGCAGCCUUUCCAAAGGGGAGUGGAGGUGGGUGAUCCCUAUUGAGGAACUGAGUGACCAGCCAGCCACCUGCAGUACUGUGUGCAUGGCCUGGUGAGUCCCAUUCUUUGCUGGGGGUCUGUGCUUCAGCACUAGGUCCCUCUGACCUUGGAGGUCCACUUGGACGCCACUGAAAGCAUUAGUGUUGACUUCUGACCUGAAGUCUUUUAGGACUAUAUUCUAGUUAUCUAUUGCUCCAUAGCAAUAUGAGAACAAACAUAGCAGCUUAAAACAACACAUAUUUAUUAUUGUACAGUUUCUGUGGAUCAGGAAUUUGGGCACGGCUUACCUGAGUCUUCUGCUUUACAAGGCUGUGGUCAAGGUGUCGGGCCUGGGCUUUGAUUCCAGGCUCACAUGGUCACAGGAAGGGUUCAGAUCCUUGUGGUUUGGGGGACUGAGGGCUAGGUUUAGACAUCAUUCCUUGCUGUGUGGGCUUCCCUGACAUGGCUAGUGGCUUUCCCAAAGCCAGCAAGGGAGAAACUCCUAGCAAGAUGGAUAUUAGGUUUUUAUGCAACAGAAUUAUACUAAUGACAUCCAGUCCCCUUUGCAAUAUUCUGUUGGUAAAAAACAGGUCACAGACACUGCCCAUAUUCAAGGAAAGAGGAUUACAUAGAAGUGUGAAUACCAAGAGGUGUGGAUAAUGGGAGACUAUCUUAGUGUCUGUGUGCCACAGAUGGUCAAUGGAAGUGCUUUUUAAAAAGUGGAAAAUACAGAUAUUCUGAGGAAAAUAGUCGUUUUGACCCAAAGAAGGUAUGAAUUUUUUUUACUGUUCUAAUGAAUAAUUUCAGAGGCUCCAACAUUAUCCCAAGACAGAGAUAAUGUUCUGGAUAAAUUAUCUGCAGUUAAUGUCUACUGGUACAGAAGAUUAAUAGGAAAGCAUGAAGAGAUUUCUGGAUAAAUACUUCUCAGUGGGUUCAUUCAGUGUAGAUGAAUUGAGUCUUUUCUAUGACCUGCUACUGGACAGAGCUUCUGCUCUGAGAUGUGCCACGGAUUAAAGGAGAGAGAUGGGCAGAGUGAUGCCAAGUGUGGGAAACCAAACUUUCUGGCAAUGAGUCUGCUUAUUUGGAAUAGAAUGAUUGACCCAGGCUGAACACAGGAGAAAACUAAAUUGUCCAUGCUUUUAUUUUUAAUUAAAAGCACAAGUCACACGUAUCAAGACCAGUGCAAACAAAAUAUUUUACUGGUUAGAAGAUGCUGGAAGAUAUUCAGGCUUUAACCCUUAGCUUUGGUGGGUUUAGACAGUCAAGGAAGGUAGUAGAGCCUCAUCCAACCUUGUCCAUGUGAUACUUAUUCUGCUGGUCCUUGAUCACUAAGGAUUUUGAAUGCCCGAGAUAUUUUUUCAGAUUUAAACCAAACACAAAGGUUCAUUUCCAGAAUUUUGGGAAACAUUACUAUAAUCCUUUAAUCAUGUAGAAAUCUUUGGGAAACUAAAGGCCACGUAGCUGGACUUAAAAAAAAAUUUGUGGAGUUUUCUUGUGGCUCAGCAGGUUAAGUUAUCACUGCAGUGGUCUUGGUCACUGCUGUGGUGCUAGUUCAGUCCCUGGCCCUGGGAACUUCCUCCACAUGGUAUGGACAUGGCCAAAAAAUUUUGUUUGAAAAUUCGUCUCCUUAAUAAGCUGCAUAACCUCCCUCAAGUAUAGGAAUUAAUCAAAGAAAUGGAAAAUAGAGUAUUUAUUGCUUUUAGUUAAAAAAGAAAGACUAUUAAUAGUCAUUUGGAGACUUCUUUUGUCACAUUCUAGACACUUUACAUUGAAAGCAAAAAAAAAAAAAAAA
Molecule: long non-coding RNA, 5113 nt
Filed under: Sus scrofa (pig)
Lineage: Eukaryota; Metazoa; Chordata; Mammalia; Artiodactyla; Suidae
Description: lncRNA (ENSSSCG00060041072.1)
Source: RNAcentral